This 752-nucleotide ribosomal RNA is filed under the name uncultured bacterium. RNAcentral's name for it is "bacterial SSU rRNA". It matches the Rfam family "Bacterial small subunit ribosomal RNA", at positions 114 to 901 of the family's 1533-position model. The record is from RNAcentral.
UGCAUAGGUUAUGUGCCCUUUAGUCUGGGAUAGCCACUGGAAACGGUGAUUAAUACUGGAUACUCCCUACGGGGGAAAGUUUUUCGCUAAAGGAUCAGCCUAUGUCCUAUCAGCUUGUUGGUGAGGUAAUGGCUCACCAAGGCUAUGACGGGUAUCCGGCCUGAGAGGGUGAUCGGACACACUGGAACUGAGACACGGUCCAGACUCCUACGGGAGGCAGCAGUAGGGAAUAUUGCUCAAUGGGGGAAACCCUGAAGCAGCAACGCCGCGUGGAGGAUGAAGGUUUUAGGAUUGUAAACUCCUUUUGUUAGAGAAGAUUAUGACGGUAUCUAACGAAUAAGCACCGGCUAACUCCGUGCCAGCAGCCGCGGUAAUACGGAGGGUGCAAGCGUUACUCGGAAUCACUGGGCGUAAAGAGUGCGUAGGCGGGGUAAUAAGUCAGAUGUGAAAUCCUGUAGCUUAACUACAGAACUGCAUUUGAAACUGUUACUCUGGAGUGUGGGAGAGGUAGGUGGAAUUCUUGGUGUAGGGGUAAAAUCCGUAGAGAUCAAGAGGAAUACUCAUUGCGAAGGCGACCUGCUGGAACAUUACUGACGCUGAUGCACGAAAGCGUGGGGAGCAAACAGGGUUAGAUACCCUGGUAGUCCACGCCCUAAACGAUGGAUGCUAGUUGUUGCCUUGCUUGUCAGGGCAGUAAUGCAGCUAACGCAUUAAGCAUCCCGCCUGGGGAGUACGGUCGCAAGAUUAAAACU